UACGUAGGGCGCAAGCGUUGUCCGGAAUUAUUGGGCGUAAAGAGCUCGUAGGCGGUUUGUCGCGUCUGUCGUGAAAGCCCACGGCUUAACUGUGGGUCUGCGGUGGAUACGGGCAGACUAGAGGCAGGUAGGGGAGAAUGGAAUUCCCGGUGUAGCGGUGAAGUGCGCAGAUAUCGGGAGGAACACCGGUGGCGAAGGCGGUUCUCUGGGCCUGUACUGACGCUGAGGAGCGAAAGCGUGGGGAGCGAACAGG
Molecule: ribosomal RNA, 253 nt
Filed under: uncultured bacterium
Lineage: Bacteria
Description: partial 16S ribosomal RNA
Rfam family: Bacterial small subunit ribosomal RNA
Source: RNAcentral